This 619-nucleotide ribosomal RNA is filed under the name uncultured Poribacteria bacterium. Its description in RNAcentral is "bacterial SSU rRNA". It matches the Rfam family "Bacterial small subunit ribosomal RNA", at positions 428 to 1040 of the family's 1533-position model. The record is from RNAcentral. Lineage: Bacteria; Candidatus Poribacteria.
GUACUCUGUGUUACGGGAUGAAUUGGAUGUUGCCGAUAAAGCAACGUUUUUGACGUUACCGUAAUAGAAAGCCCCAGCUAACUACGUGCCAGCAGCUGCGGUAAUACGUAGGGGGCAAGCGUUGUCCGGAAUCACUGGGCGUAAAGCGCGCGUAGGCGGUGGAGUAAGCCAGACGUGAAAGGGUUCGGCUCAACCGAGCCAUUGCGUUUGAUACUACCUCACUUGAGUCUAGAAGAGGAAAGUGGAAUGUAUGGUGUAGCGGUGGAAUGCUUAGAUAUCAUAUAGAACACCCGUGGCGAAGGCGGCUUUCUGGUCUAAGACUGACGCUCAUGCGCGAAAGUUUGGGGAGCAACCGGGAUUAGAUACCCCGCUAGUCCUUACUGUAAACGAUGGGUACUAAGUGUAGGGGGAUUCAAUCCCUCUGUGCUGUAGCUAACGCAUUAAGUACCCCGCCUGGGGAGUACGGCCGCAAGGUUAAAACUCAAGGUAAUUGACGGGGGGCCGCACAAGCGGUGGAGCAUGUCGCUUAAUUCGAAGCAACGCGAAGAACCUUAUCCAGGGCUUGACAUCGCAGUGACCGCUAUAGAAAUAUAGUUUUCUUCGGACACUAUGACAGGUG